Molecule: ribosomal RNA, 253 nt
Filed under: uncultured bacterium
Lineage: Bacteria
Description: partial 16S ribosomal RNA
Rfam family: Bacterial small subunit ribosomal RNA
Source: RNAcentral
UACGUAGGGUGCGAGCGUUGUCCGGAAUUAUUGGGCGUAAAGAGCUUGUAGGCGGUUUGUCGCGUCUGCUGUGAAAGUCCGGGGCUCAACUCCGGAUCUGCGGUGGGUACGGGCAGACUAGAGUGAUGUAGGGGAGACUGGAAUUCCUGGUGUAGCGGUGAAAUGCGCAGAUAUCAGGAGGAACACCCGUGGCGAAGGCGGCAGCCUGGACCGACACUGACGCUGAGGAGCGAAAGCCAGGGGAGCAAACGGG